This 253-nucleotide ribosomal RNA is filed under the name uncultured bacterium. RNAcentral describes it as "partial 16S ribosomal RNA". It matches the Rfam family "Bacterial small subunit ribosomal RNA", at positions 524 to 776 of the family's 1533-position model. The record is from RNAcentral.
UACGUAGGGGGCAAGCGUUGUCCGGAUUUAUUGGGCGUAAAGAGCGUGUAGGCGGCCAGGCAGGUCCGAUGUGAAAACUCGAGGCUCAACCUCGAGACGCCGAUGGAAACCGUCUGGCUAGAGUCCGGAAGAGGAGAGUGGAAUUCCUGGUGUAGCGGUGAAAUGCGCAGAUAUCAGGAAGAACACCCGUGGCGAAGGCGGCUCUCUAGUACGGUACUGACGCUGAGACGCGAAAGCGUGGGGAGCGAACAGG